Solanum tuberosum (potato) is the source of this 1748-nucleotide RNA transcript. It is a transcript of the gene named protein BASIC PENTACYSTEINE2-like, with no coding region annotated. The record is from RefSeq and is a predicted model, not a curated record. NCBI's taxonomy places the organism in Eukaryota, Viridiplantae, Streptophyta, Magnoliopsida, Solanales, Solanaceae. The transcript has 3 exons.
UCAUAGAAAAAUCAAAAUUCUUGUAAGUAAAUAAGGGCGUCCCUUCCAAAUUCCCAUAGAGGGGAUUACAGUCCCAAACCCUAACCAGCCGACUUUUACCUCCGGAUUGGAAACGAUGAUGCUUGCAUGCUGUGGCAUUGGUGUUCUACUGAAAUAAGCAAUAUUUAGCAUCCUGGGGUUGCAAAAUAGUGUCUUUAUUGAAAUUUAAAGCCCUUUUGCUAUCAAUUUCAGGCAGCCAUGGAUGGAAAUGGCGGUAUGAAUAUACGGAAUUGGAGCUAUUUUGAGCCAACACCAACUGUUCCGAAGGGCCAUUUGGGCCUGCAACUCAUGUCCUCGAUGAAUGAAAAGCCCCCCCAUUUUCGCAACAUUCACGAUAAUCACCACCAACAACAACAAACCCACCAACCUGACCAUCCUACAGUUAUGGCGUCGACUAAUGGUGGUGCAUUUCAUCAUCAUCGAGUUUGUGGGCUCUCAGAGUCUCCCAUGCCCAUGGAGUACAUGAGGGAUUCGUGGGUUAAUCAAAAAGACUAUAGAGAGAAGUAUCUCAAUGUGCUAUCUGCAAACCACCCUUAUCUUCCAGGUUAUGGGUUUUUGCCUGAGACAUCUUCCGCUCAGUCUAUGCAGAUGCACCAGCAGCCGAACUUGGUGAAAGUUGAAACUGCUCCUCUGGUGGAAGAGGUUUGCCAAGAAAGGGAUAAUAUAGGUGGGCUUGCUAAGAAGAGGGAAGCUGGUCAAUCCCAAGUGCUGAAGUCCCCUAAACCUAAGAAGGCAAAGAAAGCUACUAGGGCUCCUAAAGACGAGUCUACCCCAUCUCUUCCACGGGCAAGAGCUCCCAGGAAAAGUGCAGAAGUCAUCAUUAACGGUAUUAAUAUGGAUAUUUCGGUAAUUCCCAUACCAAUCUGCUCAUGCACUGGGGCUGCUCAGCAGUGUUAUAGGUGGGGCUGUGGUGGGUGGCAAUCAGCUUGCUGUACCACUAAUUUGUCUUCAUAUCCCUUGCCUAUGAAUGUAAAACGGCGUGGUUCAAGGAUAGCAGGUCGGAAGAUGAGUCUGGGAGCGUUUAAAAAGGUACUAGAGAAACUGGCUUCAGAAGGAUAUAACUUUUCUAAUCCAAUUGAUCUGAAGCCACACUGGGCAAGGCAUGGUACAAACAAGUUUGUCAUUAUCAGAUAGAUGUAUGGUGGAUAUGCUAGCAGUUGUCCUUAAAAUAGGUAUGAUGCAUUUCUGGUGUACAUAGUUGACUAUGGGUUGGACUGAGGCUUGUCAGGUAGUUUCUAACCAGUGAAAUUCAAGCAUUGCAGCACUCCUUCAGAUUUUGUCCUGUGGGAUUUUCUUUAUUUUCUUUCAGUUUACCUUUGUAGUUCUCGCAGAUAGCACACUUAUGGUAGUGGCAGAUUAUGAAAGUUGCAGAGGAGAUGCUGUCUUCCUAUGAGGGAAUACCAUCUAUUUGAUCAACCAAAUGGCUAAGUCCUGCACUACUCUGGUUGAAUGUUAUCAAACCUGGGUUCUGGCUGGCCUGUCAUUUUAAGGACUGUUAUCUUAAUUGGUUGAUGUUCUUUUCGAAUGGGAAGUUCCUUCAAUGCAUGUGUCAAUUUCAUCAAGCAGAGUGACUUGUAUUGUCUCUCCACUGUCUGAGGUGUAGAUUGUGAUGGUAAUUGUUUUUUAACAAGUUGUUAUUGAGCCCUAACAAAUAUGAGGAUGUGUUUUGACUGACCGAUAAAUUAGCAUAAUUCCUGUUCUUGUUUUGA